RNAcentral lists this ribosomal RNA (452 nucleotides) under uncultured bacterium. Its description in RNAcentral is "bacterial SSU rRNA". It matches the Rfam family "Bacterial small subunit ribosomal RNA", at positions 28 to 494 of the family's 1533-position model. The record is from RNAcentral.
GACGAACGCUGGCGGCGUGCUUAACACAUGCAAGUCGAGCGGUAAGGCCCUUUCGGGGGUACACGAGCGGCGAACGGGUGAGUAACACGUGGGUGACCUGCCCUCAGCUCUGGGAUAAGCCUGGGAAACCGGGUCUAAUACCGGAUAUGACUCCAUGACGCAUGUUGUGGGGUGGAAAGCCUUGUGCGGCUGAGGAUGGGCCCGCGGCCUAUCAGCUUGUUGGUGGGGUGAUGGCCUACCAAGGCGACGACGGGUAGCCGGCCUGAGAGGGCGACCGGCCACACUGGGACUGAGACACGGCCCAGACUCCUACGGGAGGCAGCAGUGGGGAAUCUUGCGCAAUGGGCGAAAGCCUGACGCAGCGACGCCGCGUGAGGGAUGACGGCCUCCGGGUUGUAAACCUCUUUCAGCUCCGACGAAGCGAGAGUGACGGUAGGAGCAGAAGAAGCACC